Molecule: ribosomal RNA, 601 nt
Filed under: uncultured Actinomycetes bacterium
Lineage: Bacteria; Bacillati; Actinomycetota; Actinomycetes
Description: uncultured actinobacterium partial 16S ribosomal RNA
Rfam family: Bacterial small subunit ribosomal RNA
Source: RNAcentral
GCCAUGGCGGCCGCGGGAAUUCGAUUAGAGUUUGAUCAUGGCUCAGGACGAACGCUGGCGGCGUGCUUAACACAUGCAAGUGGUGCGACGAACCAGAGCUUGCUCUGGAGCCAAGCCGCGAACGGGUGAGUAACACGUGAGUAACCUGCCCCGAUGACCGGGACAACCCGAGGAAACUCGGGCUAAUACCGGAUGUGGCGCACAGGCGUAAGCCUGUUCGCUAAAGGAAGCUUCGGCCUCCGCAUUGGGAGGGGCUCGCGGCCCAUUAGCUUGUUGGUGGGGUUAUGGCCUACCAAGGCGACGAUGGGUAGCUGGUCUGAGAGGACGAUCAGCCACACUGGGACUGAGACACGGCCCAGACUCCUACGGGAGGCAGCAGUGGGGAAUAUUGCGCAAUGGGCGAAAGCCUGACGCAGCGACGCCGCGUGUGGGAUGACGGCCUUCGGGUUGUAAACCACUGUCGGGGGGGACGAAUGCGCCGCAAGGCGAGUGACGGUACCUCCAAAGGAAGCACCGGCUAACUCCGUGCCAGCAGCCGCGGUAAUACGAAUCACUAGUGAAUUCGCGGCCGCCUGCAGGUCGACCAUAUGGGAGAGCUCCC